GCGGCGGCGGCGCGGCUCGCUCGGAAGCCGAGGCGCCGCCAUGACGGAGCGGCCCUGGCCGGAGCGGAGCCCGCGCGCGACUCCAUCCCAGGACCCUGGAGGGUGCUGAGGGGCUGCGGUUCUUCGCCCUGGAGAAUCUGCCCGGGGCGCACUUCCCCGCCGCCGGAGAGAAGGGGGUGACGGAGGUUGUAAACGCCCAGUCAGGCUGCGGCGGCGCCAAGAAGCAGGCUCGAAGACGGCUGGCAGGGCACGGCCCUCGUGAGUCGCCCUCCCUGCGUUUGUACACCUCUCCUUCCUGAUUGUAAAACCCACACACGUGCUCAUGAAGAGUGCUCCAGAGGAUCAAGAAGGAAAAAGUCACAUGGAAUACUCCUCCACUUUUCACUUGUCAUAAGCAUUUCCCAUGUCAUUAAAAAUCCUUCCUAACUGUU
Callorhinus ursinus (northern fur seal) is the source of this 431-nucleotide non-coding RNA. The record is from RefSeq and is a predicted model, not a curated record. NCBI's taxonomy places the organism in Eukaryota, Metazoa, Chordata, Mammalia, Carnivora, Otariidae.